ACUCAAAGGAAUAGACGGGGGCCCGCACAAGCGGUGGAGCAUGUGGUUUAAUUCGAUGCAACGCGAAGAACCUUACCAGGUCUUGACAUCUGUAGAACCCUUACGAAAGUAGGGGGUGCCUUCGGGAGCUACAAGACAGGUGGUGCAUGGUUGUCGUCAGCUCGUGUCGUGAGAUGUUGGGUUAAGUCCCGCAACGAGCGCAACCCUUGCUAUAAGUUGCUAACAGGUUAAGCUGAGCACUCUAAUGGGACUGCCUGUGACAAGCAGGAGGAAGGUGGGGAUGACGUCAAAUCAUCAUGCCCUUUAUGACCUGGGCUACACACGUGCUACAAUGGAUGGUACAGAGAGCAGCUAAGCCGCGAGGUGGAGCGAAUCUCAUAAAGCCAUUCUCAGUUCGGAUUGCAGUCUGCAACUCGACUGCAUGAAGUCGGAAUCGCUAGUAAUCGCGAAUCAGAAUGUCGCGGUGAAUGCGUUCCCGGGCCUUGUACACACCGCCCGU
RNAcentral lists this ribosomal RNA (499 nucleotides) under uncultured bacterium. RNAcentral's name for it is "bacterial SSU rRNA". It matches the Rfam family "Bacterial small subunit ribosomal RNA", at positions 899 to 1397 of the family's 1533-position model. The record is from RNAcentral.